UAGAGUUUGAUCAUGGCUCAGGAUGAACGCUAGCGGCAGGCUUAAUACAUGCAAGUCGAGGGGCAGCAGGACUGUAGCAAUACAGUUGCUGGCGACCGGCAAACGGGUGCGGAACACGUACGCAACCUACCCAAAACUGGUGAAUAGCCCUCCGAAAGGAGGAUUAAUACACCGUAACUUAAAGAAGUGGCAUCACUUUCUUAAUAUAGCUCCGGCGGUUUUGGAUGGGCGUGCGCCUGAUUAGGUAGUUGGUGUGGGUAACGGCCCACCAAGCCUACGAUCAGUAACUGGUGUGAGAGCACGACCAGUCACNCNGGCACUGANACACGGGCCCNACUCCUACCGGACGCAACA
Molecule: ribosomal RNA, 354 nt
Filed under: uncultured bacterium
Lineage: Bacteria
Description: bacterial SSU rRNA
Rfam family: Bacterial small subunit ribosomal RNA
Source: RNAcentral